This is a long non-coding RNA of Cydia pomonella (codling moth), 679 nucleotides long. RefSeq lists it as uncharacterized. NCBI's taxonomy places the organism in Eukaryota, Metazoa, Arthropoda, Insecta, Lepidoptera, Tortricidae. The transcript has 3 exons. The record is from RefSeq and is a predicted model, not a curated record.
UUCGAUUCGUUCCGCCCGUUACUUAUACUCGUAGCCAGUUAUUGUUAUGGCUCGCGCGGAAGUGGACGUAGGCUCGCCCGUGGUCAAAAUUUUACAGAUGUGUCUUACCGGUGGAUUUGUGUUACAACUGAAGUUUAGUGGUUUUAUGUGAACUUGAGUAGUGACUGAUAAGUGAUAACCUCUCGCUGUGUUGUCGUCAUCGAGAACUGUCAGUUAAUUGACGAUGUUACUCGUUGUUUGAAAAAAAUAAUAGAUAUAGCCCGCUUUACGCAUGGAUGACUCAUAAAGUGAUGAGUGUGAUGACCACAAUACUAAUCGAUUUAGUUUAGAACGACUGCAGAAUAAUGAGCGAACUUAAAGGGUUCAAUGUCGUAAGAAAUCUACACAAAAAUGAGGAAUACUAAUCAUAUCUACCCUUUUUUUGUUUUCGAAGUAUCUGUUGCAUAAGUGAUGUGUAACUGUGACCUGUAGGUAGAGUGCAACUAUUUAUACGCCCAUCGUUGGACGUCAGACGGCCUUUGAAAUCAUAUAGGGCGGACGUUUUCCAGGCGGUAUUUCCAGCCAUAUACUUUAGUCGGGCGUGAAUAUGAAUUCGCGUUUGACUUACAUAGACACAAAGUUAUUAUUGGCAUUGAGAGACAGACAGUGAGAGUUGAUUAGUGUACUUAGUGUAAGAUAC